UGUUCCAGGUGUUGGUAAUGAUAAUAGCUAUGUUGAUUUGUAGUUACUGUAGAAUUAAUGUUGCAUAUUGUUUACACGGAUUUUAGGUACGCUUGGUAUAUCUGACUUGGCGGAGCUUGGUGAACGUCGUGUGCACCCUAGUGCCAUACACCGGGGUGUGUUUAAUUGACCGGGAAUAAAACGUUCUCACCCCGUAA
Molecule: long non-coding RNA, 197 nt
Organism: Haliotis rufescens (red abalone)
Lineage: Eukaryota; Metazoa; Mollusca; Gastropoda; Lepetellida; Haliotidae
Exons: 2
Source: RefSeq, a predicted model, not a curated record